This 1272-nucleotide long non-coding RNA is filed under the name Piliocolobus tephrosceles (Ugandan red Colobus). Its description in RNAcentral is "lncRNA (ENSPTEG00000029695.1)". The record is from RNAcentral. Lineage: Eukaryota; Metazoa; Chordata; Mammalia; Primates; Cercopithecidae.
AGGCCCAGUGUAUUGCAUAAAGCAAGCAUGGUACAUCCACAUGAUGGAAUAUUAGGCAUUCAUUUUUGUUGUUUGUUUUUUGAGACAGAGUUUCACUUUUGUUGCCCAGGCUGAAGUGCAAUGGUGUGAUCCGGCUCACUGCAACCUCCACCUUCUGGGUUCAAGGGAUUCUCCUGCCUCAGCCUCCUGAGUAGCUGAGAUUACAGGAAUGUCCUUCCUAAUCAAAAACUGCAGCAAAAUAUGUUGAAUGCUAAUAACGAAUUAGUAUGUAAAACGUACAACAUAUUUUCCUUAUAAUUUUUUUUUUUUUUUUGAGACGGAGUCUGGCUCUGUCGCCCAGGCUGGAGUACAGUGGCCGGAUCUCGGCUCACUGCAAGCUCUGCCUCCCGGGUUCACGCCAUUCUCCUGCCUCAGUCUCCUGAGUAGCUGGGACUACAGGCGCCCGCCACCUCGCCCGGCUAGUUUUUUGUAUCUUUUAGUAGAGACGGGGUUUCACCGUGUUAACCAGGAUGGUCUCGAUCUCCUGACUUCAUGAUCCGCCCGUCUCAGCCUCCCAAAGUGCUGGCAUUACAGGCUUAAGCCACCGCACCCGGCCAUAAACUACCAUUUCACACACAUCAUCUGACUGAAAACAUUGAAGAAGAUGAAUAGCAAAUGAAGUCCAGAAACUCACACAAGUAGGCCAUCCAGAACAUGUGCAAGCCAGCGACACUACAGGCAGCUCUGGGAGCCAGUUUAUAUACCAACUCCUGAUGGUACGUCCAGCCUGCUGCCCAGGAAGGAAGCCAGUGCUGGCAGCUGGAAGGUGCCUGGCGUGUAUGGGAGCAUCAAGAGCAUGGGGAGAUGCACUGCAGUGGCCAGCACAGACCUACAGUCUAUUAUCACAGUCUCACUCUCUGUAAUAAGAAGAUUAAUCAGGACUCUGAUCAUCUGCCCUCAUCUUCCGGUGUUACAAGUCAAGCAAAACUGUGGUGGCUGCCAGCUGAUUUCAUUCCCAGAAGCCCAGAGCUUUAUCAGCGGAAGGUCACUUCCAGCCCACAGAUAAGAUUAGCCACGCCUCUCACUUCACCUCCAGCUCCUCACUUUUCCAGAAUUAUCAACUAUCCUAUUUCUGUUCAAAGUAGCCAAAAUUAACCGCGGGCUGCUCUUUGGAGGCUUCUGCAGGGAGCGUGCACCCUAUGGCCAGCAGGAGCAGCACCUCCCUCCCUCCACCAAGAAUCUGUGGCAUCCCUGUUACAGAAUGGAAUGUGCUAGAGCUCUCAGGAUGUUGAG